Molecule: ribosomal RNA, 460 nt
Filed under: uncultured bacterium
Lineage: Bacteria
Description: partial 16S ribosomal RNA
Rfam family: Bacterial small subunit ribosomal RNA
Source: RNAcentral
CCUACGGGUGGCUGCAGUGAGGAAUAUUGGUCAAUGGCCGGGAGCCUGAACCAGCCAAGUCGCGUGAGGGAAGACGGCCCUACGGGUUGUAAACCUCUUUUGUCAGGGAGCAAGGUGCAGGUCGGGUCCUGCUGUGAGAUUACCUGAAGAAAAAGCAUCGGCUAACUCCGUGCCAGCAGCCGCGGUAAUACGGAGGAUGCGAGCGUUAUCCGGAUUUAUUGGGUUUAAAGGGAGCGUAGAUGGGUUGUUAAGUCAGUUGUGAAAGUUUGGGGCUCAACCGUAAAAUUGCAAUUGAUACUGGCAGUCUUGAGUACGGUUGAGGUAGGCGGAAUUCGUGGUGUAGCGGUGAAAUGCUUAGAUAUCACGAAGAACUCCGAUUGCGAAGGCAGCUUACUAACCUGCCACUGACAUUGAUGCUCGAAAGUGUGGGUAUCAAACAGGAUUAGAUACCCCGGUAGUC